UUAAGUAACACUUUAUUGUAACACUUUGAUAUUAAGUAGUCUUUUUUUUUUUCUCCUUUUUAUUUUGUGUGUUUUUUUUCUCGUCCCUUUCUUUCAAUUCAAACCCUAAAUCCUGAAACAAAUUCGAUACCCACAAAUUUCUCUAUACCAUCUCCAGAUCCCCAAAUUUCCCUUCUUCGGUUCUUCCAUUGCCACCUCCUUCCCCUCUUUCCAUGGCUGACGCUAGCUUAUAGGGUUUUUAGUAGAAAAUUGAUGAAAUUUAUACAGAAAAUAGUGAUGGUGGAGAAGGUCAGAGGGAGGGUAGAAGAUAUUUGAACGGUGGGAGAAGGGCGAUGGUGGUAGCGGGGUUCCUGAUUUUAGUUGUCUUUAUAUCCGCUCCCUUCAUCUCCUCGCUCGCCUCACCUCCUCCUAGAGGAGCUUGAGAAAUCAAUGGCAGCAACAGAGUUUGAACAAGAGAGAAGAUGAUGAUCGAAGAUUUAGACGAAGACGAAAAUAUCGACAGCAACUCGAACACUGUAAAACCAAGCAAAAUUAAUGUUUUGGAUGAAGUGGAUCAUAUGCUUCACAUGGGGUUUGAAGAAGAUGUUUGUUCUAUAUUGAGCCAAACAAGCUCUGUUGUCUGCUGCUACUGCUAUUACAGUUGAGCUGCAAGCUGCUGCUGUCUUCGGUUACUACUGAUGUCUGUUUGCAAUUGCGCUGAUUGUGAUUUUGCCUAUUCUGUUUGGAAUUUGGUGGUCUAAGAGAUCCAAGUUGACUUUUUUUUUUUCUUUUUUGUUAGUUUGGAUUAUUAGAUUGUUUAGAGAAAUAAAAAGAAAAAAAAUUGGUGUUUAUGGAUUUUUGUAAGGAUAUAGCAAGUUUUAUCAAUUUAAAUUAUUAUUUAACGUGUAUGUUAAUUUUACAUUGUGUCGUGGUUGUACAU
Long non-coding RNA from Chenopodium quinoa (quinoa), 919 nucleotides. RefSeq lists it as uncharacterized. The transcript has 3 exons. NCBI's taxonomy places the organism in Eukaryota, Viridiplantae, Streptophyta, Magnoliopsida, Caryophyllales, Amaranthaceae. The record is from RefSeq and is a predicted model, not a curated record.